UACGUAGGGACCAAGCGUUGUUCGGAUUUACGUGGCGUAAAGGGCGCGUAGGCGGCGUGUUAAGUCAGCCGUGUGAAAUCUCCGAGCCUUAACUCGGAACGGUCGAGCGUGAUACUGAUGUGCGUAGAGUGCAGAGGGGGCAAUCGGGAAUUCUUGGAUGUAGCGGUGAAAUGACGUAGAUAUCAAGAGGAACACCUGAGGUGAAGACGGGUUGCUGGGCGUGACACAUGACGCUGGAGGCGACGGAAAGCCCAGGGGAGGCAAACGGG
This 269-nucleotide ribosomal RNA is filed under the name uncultured bacterium. Its description in RNAcentral is "partial 16S ribosomal RNA". It matches the Rfam family "Bacterial small subunit ribosomal RNA", at positions 524 to 776 of the family's 1533-position model. The record is from RNAcentral.